UACGUAGGUCGCAAGCGUUGUCCGGAUUUAUUGGGCGUAAAGCGAGCGCAGGGGGUUUGUUAAGUCUGAUGUAAAAGGCAGUGGCUCAACCAUUGUGUGCAUUGGAAACUGGGAGACUUGAGUGCAGGAGAGGAGAGUGGAAUUCCAUGUGUAGCGGUGAAAUGCGUAGAUAUACGGAGGAACACCAGUGGCGAAGGCGGCUUUCUGGCCAGCAACUGACACUGAGGCGCGAAAGCGUGGGGAGCAAACAGG
RNAcentral lists this ribosomal RNA (252 nucleotides) under uncultured bacterium. RNAcentral describes it as "partial 16S ribosomal RNA". It matches the Rfam family "Bacterial small subunit ribosomal RNA", at positions 524 to 776 of the family's 1533-position model. The record is from RNAcentral.